Molecule: ribosomal RNA, 779 nt
Filed under: Bryobacterales bacterium
Lineage: Bacteria; Pseudomonadati; Acidobacteriota; Terriglobia; Bryobacterales
Description: bacterial SSU rRNA
Rfam family: Bacterial small subunit ribosomal RNA
Source: RNAcentral
UUACUCGAGAGUUUGAUCCCGGCUCAGAAUCAACGCUGGCGGCGCGCUUAACACAUGCAAGUCGAACGAGAAAAUUCCCUUCGGGGAGUGAGUAAAGUGGCGAACGGGUGAGUAACACGUGGGUUACCUGCCCUCGAGUGGGGAAUAACUCUGGGAAACCGGGGCUAACACCGCAUACGAUCCUUCGGGAUGAAAGUCUUCGGACGCUCGAGGAGGGGCCCGCGGCCGAUUAGCUUGUUGGCGGGGUAAUGGCCCACCAAGGCAAAGAUCGGUAGCCGGCCUGAGAGGGCGCACGGUCACACUGGCACUGAGACACGGGCCAGACUCCUACGGGAGGCAGCAGUGAGGAAUCUUGGACAAUGGGGGAAACCCUGAUCCAGCGACGCCGCGUGAGUGAUGAAGCCUUUCGGGGUGUAAAGCUCUUUCAGCGGGGACAAUCAUGAUGGUACCCGCACAAGCAGCUGCGGCUAACUACGUGCCAGCAGCCGCGGUAAUACGUAGGCAGCAAGCGUUGUUCGGAAUUACUGGGCGUAAAGCGAGUGUAGGCGGUCUGCCAAGUCUGUUGUGAAAUCUCCCGGCUCAACUGGGAGGGUGCGUCGGAAACUGGCAGGCUCGAGUGCGAGAGGGGAGAGUGGAAUUCCUGGUGUAGCGGUGGAAUGCGUAGAUAUCAGGAGGAACACCGGUGGUGAAGACGGCUCUCUGGAUCGCCACUGACGCUGAGACUCGAAAGCGUGGGGAGCAAACAGGAUUAGAUACCCUGGUAGUCCACGCCCUAAACG